This 253-nucleotide ribosomal RNA is filed under the name uncultured bacterium. RNAcentral describes it as "partial 16S ribosomal RNA". It matches the Rfam family "Bacterial small subunit ribosomal RNA", at positions 524 to 776 of the family's 1533-position model. The record is from RNAcentral.
UACAGAGGUCUCAAGCGUUGUUCGGAUUUACUGGGCGUAAAGGGUGCGUAGGCGGCGCGGUAAGUCGGGUGUGAAAUCUCGGGGCUUAACUCCGAAACUGCAUUCGAUACUGCCGUGCUUGAGGACUGGAGAGGAGACUGGAAUUUACGGUGUAGCGGUGAAAUGCGUAGAUAUCGUAAGGAAGACCAGUGGCGAAGGCGGGUCUCUGGACAGUUCCUGACACUGAGGCACGAAGGCCAGGGGAGCAAACGGG